RNAcentral lists this ribosomal RNA (425 nucleotides) under bacterium enrichment culture clone ALO1_GLFRUDD03G2HIW. Its description in RNAcentral is "bacterial SSU rRNA". It matches the Rfam family "Bacterial small subunit ribosomal RNA", at positions 9 to 434 of the family's 1533-position model. The record is from RNAcentral.
GAGUUUGAAUCGUGGCUCAGAUUGAACGCUGGCGGCAGGCCUAACACAUGCAAGUCGAGCGGAAUGACGGGAGCUUGCUCCUUGAUUCAGCGGCGGACGGGUGAGUAAUGCCUGGGAAUCUGCCUGGUAGUGGGGGACAACGUUUCGAAAGGAACGCUAAUACCGCAUACGUCCUACGGGAGAAAGCAGGGGACCUUCGGGCCUUGCGCUAUCAGAUGAGCCUAGGUCGGAUUAGCUAGUUGGUGGGGUAAAUGGACUCACCAAGGCGACGAUCCGUAACUGGUCUGAGAGGAUGAUCAGUCACACUGGAACUGAGACACGGUCCAGACUCCUAGGGAGCAGCAGUGGGGAAUAUUGGACAAUGGGCGAAAGCCUGAUCCAGCCAUGCCGCGUGUGUGAAGAAGGUCUUCGGAUUGUAAAGCAAC